RNAcentral lists this ribosomal RNA (252 nucleotides) under uncultured bacterium. RNAcentral describes it as "partial 16S ribosomal RNA". It matches the Rfam family "Bacterial small subunit ribosomal RNA", at positions 524 to 768 of the family's 1533-position model. The record is from RNAcentral.
UACGAAGGGGGCUAGCGUUGCUCGGAAUCACUGGGCGUAAAGGGCGCGUAGGCGGCCGAAUUAAGUCGGGGGUGGAAAGCCUGUGGCUCAACCACAGAAUUGCCUUCGAUACUGGUUGGCUUGAGACCGGAAGAGGACAGCGGAACUGCGAGUGUAGAGGUGAAAUUCGUAGAUAUCGAGAGGAACACCGGUGGCGGAAGGCGGCCAACUGGGACAAGAUACUGACGCUGAGGUGACGAAAGGCGUGGGGAG